AUGAGGUGUGGAUAGGGGAGAAAUUCCAAUCGAACCCGGAGAUAGCUGGUUCUCCUCGAAAUAGCUUUAGGGCUAGCCUCGGUGUGAGUCUUGCGGAGGUAGAGCACUGAAUUUCCUAGGGGGCGUCAAAGCCUACCGAAGAAUAUCAAACUCCGAAUGCCGUGUAGAUAUCACCGGGAGUCAGACUGCACGAGAUAAGUUGGGCGGUCAAAAGGGAAAGAGCCCAGACCUACAGUUAAGGUCCCAAAGUGCGCGUUAAGUGGAAAAGGAUGUGGGAUUUCGAAGACAACCAGGAUGUUGGCUCAGAAGCAGCCAUACAUUCAAAGAGUGCGUAAUAGCUCACUGGUCGAGAGGUCCUGCGCCGAAAAUGUCCGGGGCUGAAACGCGCCACCGAAACUAAGGAAUCUGAAAAGAUUGGUAGAGGAGCAUUGCAUGYGGGAAGAAGCAGUACCGGAAGGAGCUGUGGACUGCAUGGAAGAGAGAAUGCCGGAAUGAGUAGCGAGAUAGAGGUGGGAAUCCUCUAGGCCGAAUAUCCAAGGUUUCCAGGGUAAAGCUGAUCUGCCCUGGGUGAGUCGGGACCUAAGGUGAGGGCGAGAGCCGUAGCCGAUGGACAACAGGUUGAUAUUCCUGUACUGCAGUAUGACAGAACUGUGGGGACACGUAAGGAGAGCGGGAGCCGGGAAUGGAAAGCCCGGUACAAGCGAGGUACCAGUAUGGUAGGAAAAUCCGCCAUGCAAUGGGAAGACGUGAUGUGGAGUGAAUUUUAGUAACGAAGCCCGUGAGCCAUGCGUCAAGAAAAGCCGCUAUCGUUCAUAUUGUACCCGUACCGUAAACCGACACAGGUGGAUGAGGAGAGAAUCCUAAGGCCGGCGGAAGAAGUAUUGCCAAGGAACUCGGCAAAAUGGCCCCGUAACUUAGGGAGAAGGGGUGCCUGCGAGAGCAGGCCGCAGAGAAUAGGCUCAAGCAACUGUUUAGCAAAAACACAGGUCUAUGCGAAACCGAAAGGUGAGGUAUAUGGGCUGACGCCUGCCCGGUGCUGGAAGGUUAAGAGGAGAGGUUAGMSGUAASKCGAAGCUUUGAAUUUAAGCCCCAGUAAACGGCGGCCGUAACUAUAACGGUCCUAAGGUAGCGAAAUUCCUUGUCGGGUAAGUUCCGACCCGCACGAAAGGCGUAAUGAUUUGAGCGCUGUCUCGGCAAUACAUCCGGUGAAAUUGAAGUGCCAGUGAAGAUGCUGGCUACCCGCGCCAGGACGGAAAGACCCCAUGGAGCUUUACUCCAGUUUGGCACUGGGGGUCCGGUGUUGCAUGUACAGGAUAGGUGGGAGGCUGAGAAACGGUAACGUCAGUUGCCGCGGAGCCGCUGUUGGGAUACCACCCUUGUGAUAUGGGC
Molecule: ribosomal RNA, 1389 nt
Filed under: metagenome
Description: bacterial LSU rRNA
Rfam family: Bacterial large subunit ribosomal RNA
Source: RNAcentral